AGUUGCAUCAUUCAGUUGGGCACUCUAGCGAGACUGCCGGUAAUAAACCGGAGGAAAGGUGGGGAUGACGUCAAAUCAUCAUGCCCCUUAUGACCUGGGCUACACACGUGCUACAAUGGUUGGUACAACGAGUUGCGAGUCGGUGACGGCGAGCUAAUCUCUUAAAGCCAAUCUCAGUUCGGAUUGUAGGCUGCAACUCGCCUACAUGAAGUCGGAAUCGCUAGUAAUCGCGGAUCAGCACGCCGCGGUGAAUACGUUCCCGGGCCUU
This 268-nucleotide ribosomal RNA is filed under the name uncultured Streptococcus sp. RNAcentral describes it as "partial 16S ribosomal RNA". It matches the Rfam family "Bacterial small subunit ribosomal RNA", at positions 1113 to 1382 of the family's 1533-position model. The record is from RNAcentral. Lineage: Bacteria; Bacillati; Bacillota; Bacilli; Lactobacillales; Streptococcaceae.